CCUACGGGGAGCAGCAGUGGGGAAUAUUGCACAAUGGGGGAAACCCUGAUGCAGCGACGCCGCGUGAAGGAAGAAGUAUUUCGGUAUGUAAACUUCUAUCAGCAGGGAAGAAAAUGACGGUACCUGACUAAGAAGCCCCGGCUAACUACGUGCCAGCAGCCGCGGUAAUACGUAGGGGGCAAGCGUUAUCCGGAUUUACUGGGUGUAAAGGGAGCGUAGGCGGCGAUGCAAGUCAGAAGUGAAAGCCCGGGGCUCAACUCCGGGACUGCUUUUGAAACUGUGUUGCUAGAGUGCAGGAGAGGUAAGUGGAAUUCCUAGUGUAGCGGUGAAAUGCGUAGAUAUUAGGAGGAACACCAGUGGCGAAGGCGGCUUACUGGACUGUAAAUGACGCUGAGGCUCGAAAGCGUGGGGAGCAAACAGGAUUAGAUACCCCAGUAGUC
Molecule: ribosomal RNA, 440 nt
Filed under: uncultured bacterium
Lineage: Bacteria
Description: partial 16S ribosomal RNA
Rfam family: Bacterial small subunit ribosomal RNA
Source: RNAcentral